This 23-nucleotide non-coding RNA is filed under the name Arabidopsis thaliana (thale cress). Lineage: Eukaryota; Viridiplantae; Streptophyta; Magnoliopsida; Brassicales; Brassicaceae. The record is from RNAcentral.
UAAAAGCCUAAGUAGUGUUUCCA